This 400-nucleotide ribosomal RNA is filed under the name phytoplankton environmental sample. RNAcentral's name for it is "partial small subunit ribosomal RNA". It matches the Rfam family "Eukaryotic small subunit ribosomal RNA", at positions 587 to 990 of the family's 1831-position model. The record is from RNAcentral.
AGCUCCAAUAGCGUAUAUUAAUGUUGCUGCGGUUAAAAAGCUCGUAGUUGGAUUUCAGUUACGGACAGGCGGUUCGUCUUUGCGAUGCAACUGUUUGCGCCGGACCUAUUGCUGGCUCCUCCAUUAUGCUCUUUAUUGAGUGUCUUGGAAGACCAGUGCGUUUACUUUGAAAAAAUUAGAGUGUUCAAAGCAGGCUUUUCAAGCCCGGAUACAUGAGCAUGGAAUAAUGGAAUAGGACCGCGGUUCUAUUUUGUUGGUUUCUACGACCGCAGUAAUGAUUAAGAGGGACAAUUGGGGGCGUCCGUAUUUCGUUGUCAGAGGUGAAAUUCUUGGAUUUACGAAAGACGAACAACUGCGAAAGCAUUCGCCAAGAGUGUUUUCAUUAAUCAAGAACGAAAGU